Molecule: long non-coding RNA, 136 nt
Organism: Bradysia coprophila
Lineage: Eukaryota; Metazoa; Arthropoda; Insecta; Diptera; Sciaridae
Source: RefSeq, a predicted model, not a curated record
CAUAAAUUACUAUUUCGAUGUGAUCAUUUCGACGAAUAAAAUGAAAUUAAGUGAACUGCAUUAUGUACUGGCUUAUGUACUGUGCUCUCUUUAUUUGUGAAUUGAAAAGCUUUCUUUUUCUUGAGAUUUUCGGUGA